RNAcentral lists this unclassified non-coding RNA (653 nucleotides) under Hevea brasiliensis (rubber tree). The record is from RNAcentral. Lineage: Eukaryota; Viridiplantae; Streptophyta; Magnoliopsida; Malpighiales; Euphorbiaceae.
AUGAAGAAUAUGAGCCCAGAGAUGAUGGCAAACAUGAGCGAACAAUUUGGAUUGAAACUUUCUCCUGAAGAUGCUGCAAAAGCUCAGCAAGCCAUGUCGUCUUUAUCGCCAGAUGACUUGGAUAGAAUGAUGCGAUGGGCAGAUAGGAUACAAAGAGGAGCUGAAGGUGCAAGGAAAGCCAAGAACUGGUUACUAGGGAGACCUGGUAUGAUAAUGGCUAUAUGCAUGCUCAUCUUAGCCAUGAUCCUUCACUGGCUAGGCUACAUUGGGAGGUAAGGAGGACCCAACCCUUUUUAAAGUUGUCAGGCAAGUUUAACUUCCAGCUCAGCUAGGAUUGGCUGAACUACUCGUGUAUAAGAAUGGAAGUAGAAAGCCAAGCAAACGAUGUAGGGAAUGAAGAAAAUUGAGAAAUUAUAGGACAGCUGUAAUUUGUACAUUGGGUGACGAAGAUGAUCCCAUAAUUGUUUGAUUUGUUGGACUUGAGAUUUUUGUUUGUGAACUAGAAGGGAACUCAGAAAGGAGAUUCAAAGUUAUUGUACUGAUGUCCACUAGCUUUUGUGUAAUAUUAUGUAUUUAGCUGUUCAGCAUAUUGAGGUUACCCCUAAACACUACUAAGGAACUUCCUUGCAUUUUUAAUUUCUUUAUAAGCUCAG